This 629-nucleotide unclassified non-coding RNA is filed under the name Hevea brasiliensis (rubber tree). The record is from RNAcentral. Lineage: Eukaryota; Viridiplantae; Streptophyta; Magnoliopsida; Malpighiales; Euphorbiaceae.
GGUGAUGGAGAGCUCAAUUUCAAGAGCAGUUUAGUUUGUAGCUUUGCUAGUUUGAUGACUCACACUCCUAGACCCGUAAUUCUCAACAGUUGUAUCCAGUCAAUUCCUAAGCAAUGUAUUUUUUAUGAUUUGUCGAAUCGUAUGGAAACAUUCUAUGUUCAGUUAAGAUGUUAUCACACUCUUUUACAUAAAAUUAAAUAUCUGAAGUUCAAUCCAGUAAUUGAUCAUCUCAUCAUCAUUACACCUUGGCUUGUCCAAAGAAUUUCAGAUGGUUUCUCAAUUUGAUGUCUUAUUCUGUAUGGAAUUGCUCAUUUUUUAUUUAUUAAAAUAUAACUUAUGGAGUAUCAAAAGCUUCCGGAGGGAAUUCUACUGUGCAAUGUCAAUCGUCUGCUGGCGAGUGAUUAUCGGGAAGAUGCAAUAUCAACACUUUAUUGAAGUUCAGGCUCCUUUGUCAUCGUCUUCAGAGAUUAAAUUUUAUUAAUUUGGAAGAACAUGACAUCAGUAAUGGUGAGGCGAAGGUUGUAGAAGGUGAACCGUCCAAAGGCCUGCUAGAAAACAACAAAUGCUAUCUACUGGAUUGUGGUGCUGAGGUAUUUGUUUGGGUUGGCCGUGUAACACAAGUGGAGGAG